AUUGAACGCUGGCGGAAUGCUUUACACAUGCAAGUCGAACGGCAGCACGGACUUCGGUCUGGUGGCGAGCGGCGAACGGGUGAGUAAUGUAUCGGAACGUGCCCAGUCGUGGGGGAUAACGUAGUGAAAAUUACGCUAAUACCGCAUACGAUCUAUGGAUGAAAGCGGGGGAUCGCAAGACCUCGCGCGAUUGGAGCGGCCGAUAUCAGAGUAGGUAGUUGGUGGGGUAAAGGCCCACCAAGCCAACGAUCUAUAGCUGGUCUGAGAGGACGAACAGCCACACUGGAACUGAGACACGGUCCAGACUCCUACGGGAGGCAGCAGUGGGGAAUUUUGGACAAUGGGCGAAAGCCUGAUCCAGCCAUUCCGCGUGCAGGAUGAAGGCCCUCGGGUUGUAAACUGCUUUUGUACAGAACGAAAAGGUUUCUACUAAUACUAGGAGCUCAUGACGGUACUGUAAGAAUAAGCACCGGCUAACUACGUGCCAGCCGCCGCGGUAA
RNAcentral lists this ribosomal RNA (500 nucleotides) under uncultured bacterium. RNAcentral describes it as "partial 16S ribosomal RNA". It matches the Rfam family "Bacterial small subunit ribosomal RNA", at positions 30 to 523 of the family's 1533-position model. The record is from RNAcentral.